GAUGUUGGCUUAGAAGCAGCCAUGCAUUUAAAGAGUGCGUAACAGCUCACUGGUCGAGUGGACAUGCGCCGACAAUUCACGGGGCUAAGCGAUGCACCGAAGCGGCGGACUGAGAAUUCAGUGGUAGGGGAGCUCUCCGCGGGGGGCGAAGCAGCAGGGCGACCUGCUGUGGACCGCGCGGAGGUGAGAAUGCUGGCAUGAGUAACGAGACCAGGGCGAGAAACCCUGGCGCCGUGAGCCUAAGGGUUCCUGGGCGAGGCUAAUCCCCCCAGGGUCAGUCGGGAGCUAAGGCGAGGCCGAGAGGCGUAGCCGAUGCGCAGCGGGCAGACAUUCCCGCACCGCCGACGGCGCGGCAUUACCGAUGGGGCGACGGAGAAGGGUAGCCGGGCGGGGUUCUGGACGUCCCCGUGAAAGCGCGUAGGGCGCGCAGCGUGGAAAUCAGCUGCGCACGGGGCCUGAGACGCGAGACGAAGCGAGCGAGCGAAGCCGGUGAGCCCAUGCUUCCGAGAAAAACCUCUAGGGAGUGCCGUCGGCGCCCGUACCAAAACCGACACAGGUGGGCGGGUAGAACAUACCGAGGCGAUCGGGAGAACCACGGUUAAGGAACUCGGCAUACUGGCCCCGUAACUUCGGGAGAAGGGGCGCCGCCGGCUGUGAACGCCCUCGCGGCGGGAGCGGCUGGCGGCCGCAGCGAAACGGCCCAAGCGACUGUUUAUCAAAAACACAGGACUCUGCAAAGCGGUAACGCGACGUAUAGGGUCUGACGCCUGCCCGGUGCCGGAAGGUUACGCGGAUGCGUCAGCCGAAAGGCGAAGCGCUGAAGCCAAGCCCCGGUAAACGGCGGCCGUAACUAUAACGGUCCUAAGGUAGCGAAAUUCCUUGUCGGGUAAGUUCCGACCUGCACGAAUGGCGUAACGAUUUGGGCGCUGUCUCAACCGUGGACCCGGUGAAAUUGUACUGUUCGUGAAGAUGCGAACUACCCGCGGAAGGACGGAAAGACCCCGUGAACCUUUACUGCAGCUUGGCAUUGGCAUCUGGUACGGCGCGUAGAGGAUAGGCGGGAGCCUUUGAAGCGGGGGCGCAAGCCCCCGUGGAGGCGACCUUGGAAUACCGCCCUCGUCGUGCCGGCUGCCUAACGCGCGGCCGUGAUCCGGCGCGCGGACCGUGCCAGGCGGGUAGUUUGACUGGGGCGGUCGCCUCCCAAAACGUAACGGAGGCGCGCGAAAGGUCCGCUCAGGACGGUCGGCAACCGUCCCGAGAGCGCAAGAGUGCAAGCGGGCUUGACUGCGAGGGACACAACCCGAGCAGGUGCGAAAGCAGGUUCUAGUGAUCCGGCGGCCCAGAGUGGAAUGGCCGUCGCUCAACGGAUAAAAGGUACUCCGGGGAUAACAGGCUGAUCUUGCCCAAGAGUCCACAUCGACGGCAAGGUUUGGCACCUCGAUGUCGGCUCAUCGCAUCCUGGGGCUGUAGCAGGUCCCAAGGGUUGGGCUGUUCGCCCAUUAAAGCGGUACGCGAGCUGGGUUCAGAACGUCGUGAGACAGUUCGGUCCCUAUCCUCCGCGGGCGCAAGGGAGUUGAGGAGAUCUGCCCCUAGUACGAGAGGACCGGGGUGGACGGACCUCUGGUGACGCGGUUGUCGACCAACGGCACCGCCGCCUAGCUACGUCCGGCACGGAUAACCGCUGAAGGCAUCUAAGUGGGAAGCCGCCUCCGAGAUGAGCUCCCUUUCCGGUAAGGGCCCAGAUAGACUAUCUGGUCGAUAGGGCGCAGCUGCAAGCAGGGCGACCUGCUCAGGCGAGCGCUACUAAUAGCCCGAGCUCUUCUUCAU
This 1827-nucleotide ribosomal RNA is filed under the name human gut metagenome. RNAcentral's name for it is "bacterial LSU rRNA". It matches the Rfam family "Bacterial large subunit ribosomal RNA", at positions 1097 to 2925 of the family's 2925-position model. The record is from RNAcentral.